Molecule: ribosomal RNA, 253 nt
Filed under: uncultured bacterium
Lineage: Bacteria
Description: partial 16S ribosomal RNA
Rfam family: Bacterial small subunit ribosomal RNA
Source: RNAcentral
AACGUAGGGGGCGAGCGUUAUCCGGAUUUACUGGGCGUAAAGCGCGUGUAGGCGGCCUGGAAAGUUGGACGUGAAAGCUCCUGGCUUAACUGGGAGAGGUCGUUCGAAACUACCGGGCUUGAGGUUGGAACAGGAGCGUGGAAUUCCCGGUGUAGUGGUGGAAUGCGUAGAUAUCGGGAGGAACACCAGUGGCGAAAGCGGCGCUCUGGUCCAAGACUGACGCUGAGAUGCGAAAGCGUGGGGAGCAAACGGG